CGCGUAGGUGGUUUGUUAAGUUGAAUGUGAAAUCCCCGGGCUCAACCUGGGAACUGCAUCCAAAACUGGCAAGCUAGAGUAGGGCAGAGGGUGGUGGAAUUUCCUGUGUAGCGGUGAAAUGCGUAGAUAUAGGAAGGAACACCAGUGGCGAAGGCGACCACCUGGGCUCAUACUGACACUGAGGUGCGAAAGCGUGGGGAGCAAACA
Molecule: ribosomal RNA, 207 nt
Filed under: uncultured bacterium
Lineage: Bacteria
Description: partial 16S ribosomal RNA
Rfam family: Bacterial small subunit ribosomal RNA
Source: RNAcentral